Molecule: long non-coding RNA, 82 nt
Organism: Limulus polyphemus (Atlantic horseshoe crab)
Lineage: Eukaryota; Metazoa; Arthropoda; Merostomata; Xiphosura; Limulidae
Exons: 3
Source: RefSeq, a predicted model, not a curated record
UUUUUUUCAGCUGGAGAGCCUUAAAGAACUUAAACUUAGGAUCUUUCAUGGAGGAAGGUCAUAAAAUGAUGAAACAUAAUUA